Molecule: long non-coding RNA, 1251 nt
Filed under: Apteryx owenii (little spotted kiwi)
Lineage: Eukaryota; Metazoa; Chordata; Aves; Apterygiformes; Apterygidae
Description: lncRNA (ENSAOWG00000017345.1)
Source: RNAcentral
GUCCUCCGCCGCCCGCCUCAGCGGCGGGGGCCGCUCAGGGCGCAGCAAGCCCCUCUCCCCCCGGGGAAGGUGGGGGGCAACGUCAACGUGUGCGCCCGCACACCGGGCACCAUUUUGUGAGCCACAGGAGGCCGGAGAGCCAUUUCCCGCGGGCAGCGCCGGUGCCAGCCAGAAGUUAGAGGCGGGGGGCGGCCCGUGCGGGGCAGCAGCCGCUCCUCUCGCCGCCAUGGCUCUCGGACACAGGGCUGCGGCGCUACUGGCUCUGCCGGGCGUUAAGCACUGACUUGCUCGGGCCGCCCUUUGCCGCCCCCCCCCCCCAACGGCUUCGCUGGGCGCUGCUUCUCCUCAGGGCCAUUACGCCUGCCCGGCUCGGGCGCCUGCUUGUGCUUCGCAGGAGGUUUAAGUAGUUUGCGUACCGCUCCUGCGAAGGAGGAAAGGAGAAUGGCCGCUACGCAAAGGCCUGACCGCAAGAGGGGUUCGUGAAUAGGGGAGGAACAAAAUAACUCUCCCAGCGCCUUAAGCCAAACCAAAAUGCGACGGAGGGAAGAGAACAGCCAGGGACACAAGCAGAGAGCAAGAGCAGGCGCCGCGGCGUGCCUCUUCUUUGCAGAGAGCGCUGCGUGCUUGCUGGGCGCAGAAAGGUGGAGGCCCGUCCAGGAGGAGGAAAGCCAGCCAAGGAGAAAUGACCUUUUCCACAGGAACGCGGGCCAGCGCUUUUAAGGGGGAGGGAAGAAGCUCGAGCGAACCAGAGAAGGGAAAACAAACACUGCCAAGUGGUCGGGCAGCCGGGGAAGCUUCCCCAGCCUCUGCCGGAAUGGCUCAGUGCGGGCACAGCAGCGAAGAGUUGCACGCCUGCAUUUUGGGAAAUAACGGAGAGAAGAAUCUUUGAUUCCUGCAUUUAUACAAUUUGUGUCCACAAGAUACUCAAUAGAGACUUGGAUAGAGGUCAUUCCUGCAAAGAUUGUGAUCUUCUCCACAUGCUGACUGCACAGCGUCUGGCUAAAUGAUACAGAAGCUACAGAGUCAGGGUUACCAACUGCAGUGGAGCUCUCGUCAAGUGCAGUAAUGCAGCCUGCAGGUCUCAUAACUGUGCGGCAAUGUACAGUGAAGAGGACCUCAGUCCAUCUACCAGGGCAGUGAAAGAUUCUGCCAAGCACCCUUUUCCUCCUUACCUGACCACGCAGGUGCUUGCUCCCAAAUGUGACAAAAGCGAGAGGAAAAAUAAAAUCACUACUGCCCUCUGGUAUCCCA